This 253-nucleotide ribosomal RNA is filed under the name uncultured bacterium. RNAcentral describes it as "partial 16S ribosomal RNA". It matches the Rfam family "Bacterial small subunit ribosomal RNA", at positions 524 to 776 of the family's 1533-position model. The record is from RNAcentral.
UACAGAGGGUGCGAGCGUUGUCCGGAAUCACUGGGCGUAAAGGGCUCGUAGGCGGCCAACUAAGUCGGAUGUGAAAUCCCCAGGCUCAACCUGGGAACUGCAUCCGAUACUGGAUGGCUUGAAUCCGGGAGAGGGAUGCAGAAUUCCAGGUGUAGCGGUGAAAUGCGUAGAUAUCUGGAGGAAUACCGGUGGCGAAGGCGGCAUCCUGGACCGGCAUUGACGCUGAGGAGCGAAAGCUAGGGGAGCAAACGGG